ACGCAAACAAUAUAGAGAGGGUAAACGCUUCACAGGGGUCUUCAGGUGGGCACCCUCCUUCUUUGGUGUUUCGUUGAAAGGCCCACGACACCUCCAGAG
Molecule: long non-coding RNA, 99 nt
Organism: Thalassophryne amazonica
Lineage: Eukaryota; Metazoa; Chordata; Actinopteri; Batrachoidiformes; Batrachoididae
Exons: 3
Source: RefSeq, a predicted model, not a curated record